RNAcentral lists this microRNA (21 nucleotides) under Oryza sativa (Asian cultivated rice). Its description in RNAcentral is "osa-miR2872". The record is from miRBase by way of RNAcentral. Lineage: Eukaryota; Viridiplantae; Streptophyta; Magnoliopsida; Poales; Poaceae.
UGGGGUUCUACAAACCGAACU